Molecule: ribosomal RNA, 366 nt
Filed under: uncultured organism
Description: bacterial SSU rRNA
Rfam family: Bacterial small subunit ribosomal RNA
Source: RNAcentral
CGGAGGAUCCAAGCGUUAUCCGGAAUCAUUGGGUUUAAAGGGUCCGUAGGCGGGUUUAUAAGUCAGUGGUGAAGGCCCAUCGCUCAACGAUGGAACGGCCAUUGAUACUGUAGAUCUUGAAUUAUUAGGAAGUAACUAGAAUAUGUAGUGUAGCGGUGAAAUGCUUAGAGAUUACAUGGAAUACCAAUUGCGAAGGCAGGUUACUACUAAUGGAUUGACGCUGAUGGACGAAAGCGUGGGUAGCGAACAGGAUUAGAUACCCUGGUAGUCCACGCCGUAAACGAUGGAUACUAGCUGUUCGGAGCAAUCUGAGUGGCUAAGCGAAAGUGAUAAGUAUCCCACCUGGGGAGUACGUUCGCAAGAACG